RNAcentral lists this long non-coding RNA (1669 nucleotides) under Marmota monax (woodchuck). Lineage: Eukaryota; Metazoa; Chordata; Mammalia; Rodentia; Sciuridae. The record is from RNAcentral.
CUAUGAUUUAACAUAAGAAGGGACUACCUCCACCAAUCCCAAGAGAAGAACACAUGGAAAUAGAAAUAGUUCAUCAAAAGCCAAGUUCCCUACAGAUAUGGAGGUAUACCCCUGAAAUCUCAGCUACUUGCUAGGGUGAGUUAGGAGAAUCACUUGAACUCAAGAGCUAGAGACCAUUCUGGGCAACAUAACAGGAACUUGCCUCAAAACAAACAAAUUAAAAGCCAAGUCCCUGUUGAGGCCAAACAGGACUCUGAGGUAAUGAAUACUUUCAGGACUACUGGAACCCUCAGAGUAAACUUUAGGGUAGAAUUUCCCUUUUAAUGAUUGAGAGAUAAAGAAUGUUACCCACACAAUGAUUUCCUAAAGGCUAUGCCUUAUCUAAUGCAAAAUGAUUCUAAAAUCAGAUAUUAAUCCAAACACUGUUUAUAAUCAAUAUCUUGGUCAAAUAUUUAUUCUAUACAUAAUAUUGUUUAGCGUACAUGGGAGGUUUACUAUGUACUAGGCAUAUACUGAAUAAAACAUUAAGUCAUUUUCAUCCCACAACUAUUUCCCAGGGGGUGGGUAAAAUUUCUGGUCUCCUGUGUCAUAGGGAUCAGGCAAGAAAAUAGAACUCUAGAAAAUAAUCCUGAAGUGGAGUGAGGAAAUGGAGUGAGAAGUCAUGUCUGCCCAAGGGAUAAGUGUCUGGGGAAGCUAUUGUGGUAAGAUGUCAGCGAAGCAAACUACUGAAGGUCAAGUUUGUUUCAAUUCCCAACCAUGAGUCACAUAGUCAAGUGAAAACCAAGACAAAAACGUAGGAAUCUAGAAUGUGAUGUCUGGUAGAAACUUGACAGGAAAUCAAAUUAUGAAAUUAAGAUGAAUCAAACUUUCAUGUGAGAGGCAAAUAUUCAAGCAGAAAUUACAACAUAGUGUGAUAAAUGAUCAAUAGUUGUGUGUGCAGCAACAAGAAGAGGAACUGAAUAAUUUAGCACAUGGGGAUCUGGGAUGGCUUCAACAUGGAAGAGGAGGUGUGUCUGCCAAAGUUUCCAAGGAGUUCCCAAAGAGAAGAGGGAACUUGACUCAGGACCAGGGAGACCUUAGGUUACUUAAGGGAAUGAUAUUUCCAUAUGUGCCAGUCAGAAGCAUAGACAGAGUUUAUUUAGGAAAGUAGGGUACGCAUUCAAGGAAGAAUAGAGGAAAUUUCAAGAAAAAAGAUAACUUUAAAAAUAAAGUAUUAAGAAGACAAACAACAAUAAGUGUUGGCGAGGAUGUGAGGAAAAAGGUACACUCAUACAUUGUUAGUGGGACUGCAAAUUGGUGCAGCCAAUGUAGAAAGCAGUAUGGAGAUUCCUUGAAAAACUGAGAAUGCAACCACCAUUUGACCCAGCUAUCCAUCUCCUUGGUCUAUACACAAAGAACUUAAAAACAGCAUAAUACAGGAAUACAGCCACAUCAAUGUUUAUAGCAGCACAAUUCACAAUAGCUAAACUGUGGAACCAAUGUAGAUGCCCUGCAAUAGAUGAAUAGAUUUAAAAAAUGUGGCAUAUAUACUCAAUGGAAUAUUACUCAGCAAUAAAAGAGAAUAAAAUCAUGGGAUUUGCAGGUAAAUGGAUGGAGUUAAUGGAGAUAAUGCUAAGUGAAGUUAGCCAAUCCCCAAAAAACAAAUGCAGAAUGUUUUCUCUGAUAUAAG